This 614-nucleotide ribosomal RNA is filed under the name uncultured Gram-positive bacterium. RNAcentral's name for it is "bacterial SSU rRNA". It matches the Rfam family "Bacterial small subunit ribosomal RNA", at positions 1 to 634 of the family's 1533-position model. The record is from RNAcentral.
UGAGUUUGAUCCUGGCUCAGGAUGAACGCUGGCGGCGUGCUUAACACAUGCAAGUCGAACGGACGGAGAGGAGCUUGCUCCUCGAAGUUAGUGGCGGACGGGUGAGUAACGCGUGGGUAACCUGCCCUAUGCAGGGGGAUAACGUUUGGAAACGAACGCUAAUACCGCAUAAUCUGAUUUUUUCGCAUGAAGAGAUCAGCAAAGAUUUAUCGGCAUAGGAUGGACCCGCGUUGGAUUAGCUAGUUGGUGAGAUAACAGCCCACCAAGGCGACGAUCCAUAGCCGGCCUGAGAGGGUGAACGGCCACACUGGGACUGAGACACGGCCCAGACUCCUACGGGAGGCAGCAGUGGGGAAUAUUGCACAAUGGGCGCAAGCCUGAUGCAGCGANNNNGCGUGAAGGAUGAAGGUUUUCGGAUCGUAAACUUCUAUCAGCAGGGAAGAAACCAAUGACGGUACCUGACUAAGAAGCCCCGGCUAACUACGUGCCAGCAGCCGCGGUAAUACGUAGGGGGCAAGCGUUAUCCGGAUUCACUGGGUGUAAAGGGUGCGUAGGUGGCAUGGUAAGUCAGAUGUGAAAUUUAGGAGCUCAACUUCUAAGCUGCAUCUGAAACU